Non-coding RNA from Schistosoma mansoni, 48 nucleotides. The record is from Rfam. Lineage: Eukaryota; Metazoa; Platyhelminthes; Trematoda; Strigeidida; Schistosomatidae.
AUCCGGCUGACGAGUCCCAAAUAGGACGAAAAGCACGUCAAACUGGAU